This 30-nucleotide non-coding RNA is filed under the name Mus musculus (house mouse). The record is from RNAcentral. Lineage: Eukaryota; Metazoa; Chordata; Mammalia; Rodentia; Muridae.
UCAACUACAGUGUCUGAAAGGUACCCGAGC